RNAcentral lists this ribosomal RNA (253 nucleotides) under uncultured bacterium. Its description in RNAcentral is "partial 16S ribosomal RNA". It matches the Rfam family "Archaeal small subunit ribosomal RNA", at positions 474 to 727 of the family's 1478-position model. The record is from RNAcentral.
UACCCGCGGCCCGAGUGGUGCUCAUUAUUAUUGAGCCUAAAGCGUCCGUAGCUGGCCGGGCAAAUCUCCGGGUAAAUCGGACGGCUCAACCGUCCGAAUACCGGAGACACUGCUCGGCUUGGGAUCGGGAGAGGGAGAAGGUACUCCCUGGGUAGGGGUAAAAUCCUGUAAUCCGGGGGGGACCACCAGUGGCGAAGGCGUUCUCCUAGAACGAGUCCGACAGUGAGGGACGAAGCCCUAGGGCGCAAACGGG